UUCACGUGUAGGUUUUGGUGGAGGGUGCUCACAAACAGAGGAAGGAGAAAAAGUGGAUCCAGGAUAAAGUAAACAGUGUGAGAAGGCAACAAAGGUGUAAGACAAAGGAGCUGUUUGAGGACUGCAAGAAGGAAUGUGGCUCAAUAGAACAAUAUGUUCAUGGAGAAGAGUGAGACAGGAUGCUAAGGAAGUGUGUUGAGGCAACAAUUUUUCUACUUAAAGAAGGACUAUCAGCCAUGAAUAGAUCUAAGCUGAAGUGGAAAAAAAAGUGAUCUGAAUAUGUAAAGUCAC
RNAcentral lists this long non-coding RNA (291 nucleotides) under Homo sapiens (human). RNAcentral's name for it is "HSALNT0147156". Lineage: Eukaryota; Metazoa; Chordata; Mammalia; Primates; Hominidae. The record is from RNAcentral.